This 68-nucleotide transfer RNA is filed under the name Rasbora semilineata. RNAcentral describes it as "tRNA-Ala". It matches the Rfam family "tRNA". Rfam says of the family: Transfer RNA (tRNA) molecules are approximately 80 nucleotides in length. Their secondary structure includes four short double-helical elements and three loops (D, anti-codon, and T loops). Lineage: Eukaryota; Metazoa; Chordata; Actinopteri; Cypriniformes; Danionidae. The record is from RNAcentral.
GGGGCCUUAGUUUAAUAAAAAUGUUUGAUUUGCAAUUAUAAGAUGUGGAGUGAAAUCUACAGGCCCUA